GGAGAGUGGUGGUAGUGGUGGUAGUGGUGGGUUCACUGGGAAAUAUAUGGGAGAAAUGAAGGUAGAUCUGUGUCUCUGCUUUGUCUUUGCUGGCUCUCAUAUUCACUCACCUUUCUCCAUGUAGCUGAGAAAAUGCUCAUCAACAGCCUUGUGUCUGUACUCCUGAGAAUUCUCAAUCCACAGGCAGAGAGGAAUAGCCAGCCAAUUGUCACCUAUUUGCAGACGUCUUGGAUUGUCUCUUUCUGGGUCACGUUGUCCAGGGAGUACAGUGCACAAUAAGGCCACUCUUGGUCACGUGCUGCUCCUCCAACGGCUGUGAGGGACAGGGUGGAGCAUGUGGCUGGUGCUCCACUGGAAUGGUUGGAAGUUAGGGAGGAAAUGUCCCUGUGAUCAGGAUUCUGUGAUCAGAGUACAGGAAUAGGAACCCACUGGGCACAUAGUACAAUUGUCAUUCCAAACCAUCCAUUUUGUCCCUUCCCUUCUCCAUGUCUUACCUUGUAGUAAGGCCGAGGAUCUGUGCCUCCACGAUGGCCUGAGGGUGGAUAAUUGUGGAGGCAGAUGCAGAAGUCAUGGCAUCCAUGUCACCGAAGAGGGAGUAAAUCCAGAGAGGGACAUUUCUGAGGCCACUAAAGUAGUAAGUCACAGAGCUGGAAUUGGAAGCCCUAGGAAUCUGAAAGCAGCAGGUGAUAGACGAAGGCUGUUGCCAGCUGCCUCUGAGGCUUUGCAGCACUGUAUUCAUGGUGGCCAGGUCUGGUCCACUCUACCUAAUGUCUUUCAUGGACUGGGAGUGGCAGGCAUGUUGUGGGUAUGGUGCCUCUGAUCGGUCUGGUCUGGCUCCCGUCUGACCAGGGGGAAUGCCUGGACGUAGAUUCACAGGGGUCCCCAGUGGAAAGUUUUUGAUCGUUGAGUUCCCAGCACCAAGAGCUCAUGCAAGGGACAGGGACCUGGGCUGGGACAGACCCCACCUGUGGGUGCCAGGCCAGAGUCUCUCACCGGCCCAGGGAUUGGGUAGGGCUGAGUGUCCACAUGGAAAAUAGACAGGAGCAGACGACGAGGUACCAAGAGGCCUUUGAGAUGACAGCAUCAAGGUGUGUGCUUCAUAUCUCCAGGGCAGCUUCUGCAGCUCUGGCUCAUCGUCCCAUGGUCCCCACGGCAGGGCCAUUCAUCCACUGUGCUGGUCCCGGAUGGUCUCCACGGCACACGGACAAAAGUUCAGACGCAAUGGAACAUGCUGGGGAAAUCUCAGGUGAGGUGCCUGUGAAGCAGAUUAAAAACAAAUAUGCAGAAAUACAGCAGUUACAUUGGAGAAUAAUCAGUUUAGGCUGACCUUCAGAACUUCCUAACCAGCCGGGGUCAAAGACGAGGACGUUCUUUGCGAUCAGUGAACUAUCUUCCCUGCAAGGGACAAGAGUGUGCAGCACUACGUGACAGGUGUCCUUGGAGGAGUGUGCUCUGUCCCACCCGAUGAUAUUGAUCUUGGUAAAAGCGACAGCAACAUCGCCAGCAAGCUCACUGCAAUCCCCACACAGAAAGUCCCGGCGGCUGUUUCAAAGUGGAGGUCUUUGUUAAAACGUAUUCCUGGAAAACAAUGUUCUUUAUUUGCUUCUCAAGAUGGAUCGAAGUGAGCUAUGGAAA
Molecule: long non-coding RNA, 1635 nt
Filed under: Vulpes vulpes (red fox)
Lineage: Eukaryota; Metazoa; Chordata; Mammalia; Carnivora; Canidae
Description: lncRNA (ENSVVUG00000004926.1)
Source: RNAcentral